GCCCUGAGAGGGGCGGCCGCGCUGCCCGACCCGCGGUCCCCGCAGCCCCUCGGCUGUGACGCUUUCCCCGAGCCCGCACCCGGUGUUUCCGGAGGCGGGAGACUCCCGCCAGCCAGGGCGCGCCGCCGGCUUCACAGGAGCCUCCCGGGCAGCGCAGCCCGCCCGCCUUUCCGUCAGGCUUUUGCGCCCGGCGCCCCCUCAGUGAUGGCGUGAAGAGGGUGGGCGUUCCGGUCCGGAGGCCCCUGCCGCGGCCCCGGAAACGUCUCUUCCCGGGCGGCCGCGGUGGUGGUCGCCGUGAUGCCUGCGGGGCUGGGUGGCUGACCACCGCGGGUGGAGCGGGCCCGGGUCCCGAAUCUCGGCGGCCGCUGCUCGAGCGCGGCCUGCGCCAUGGCCACCUCCGCCGCCUCCUCGGAGCAUUUCGAGAAGCUGCACGAGAUCUUCCGCGGCCUCCAUGAAGACCUACGGGGCGUGCCGGAGCGGCUCCUGGGGACUGGGGGCACAGAAGAGAAGAAGAAAUUGAUCAGAGAUUUUGAUGAAAAGCAACAGGAAGCAAAUGAAACGCUGGCAGAGAUGGAAGAGGAACUACGUUAUGCACCCCUGUCUUUUCGUAACCCUAUGAUGUCCAAGCUUCGAAACUACCGGAAGGACCUUGCCAAACUCCACCGGGAAGUGAGAAGCACGCCUUUGACAGCCACACCUGGGGGCCGAGGAGACAUGAAAUAUGGCACAUACACUGCAGAGAAUGAGCAUAUGAAUCAGCUACAGUCUCAGAGGGUAUUGCUUUUGCAAGGCACUGAUAGCCUGAACCGGGCCACCCAGAGUAUUGAGCGUUCUCAUCGGAUUGCCACAGAAACUGAUCAGAUUGGCUCAGAAAUUAUAGAAGAGCUGGGGGAGCAACGUGACCAGUUGGAACGUACCAAAAAUAGACUGGUAAACACAAAUGAAAACUUGAGCAAAAGUCGAAAGAUUCUCCGGUCAAUGUCCAGAAAAGUGACAACCAACAAGCUGCUACUUUCCAUUGUCAUCUUACUGGAGAUAGCCAUCCUGGGAGGCCUGGUUUAUUACAAAUUCUUUCGCAAGCACUAAACUUCCUGCACGGAAGCGUUUGUGGACCAGAACUUUGACCCUGAGAAUGAAUAGUGUUACAGAUGUGGAAUAAGUGUAUUGCUGCUGUGAGCUAACGGUUCAAGGAUGCACUGUGUAGCCAGACUGUGGGAAGAGGGAGGGAAGAUGGAAAACCAGUUAAUGUGAAGAAACAGCCACAAGACCAAUGUGAUAUACCAAGGACAAGACGGUUGAGCGUCACUGCAAAACGUUCUGCUGACAAACUUCAAGCUAUUCCAAUGUCUAAUAACCACAGGAAGAGAUAGCAAGAAUCCUGGGGAUAAAGUACUGCUCUUCAGAAUGUGAUCCUUUUUAAAUUCUUGAUACUUCACCUUGUUCCAGAAAGGAUUUAAAGGAAGAGGCAUCAGGCUAGUGACUAUGGCUCUGCCAGUUAUCAGUCCAGAUGUGUAGCUCCAUGCCUCAGACCCUGGGCUAGCAUCAUGAUGUGUGUUCUCCAAGAACCUCAAAUUGGGACGCAUUCCAAACUACUCUGGGCUGAGAGCCGAGGGCUGCAACAUCGCCUCUUGCCCAUCUUGCCACAGUGGGUCCAGUGCCACACGAGAUGCAAAGGAAAAAUUCCCGGCCCGUAACCUCUUAGAAGAGUCAAGAUGUCCAACCAAGUACAGUUUCCAAGCUUGUCCUACCUCAAGGACAGGGCUUGCUUAAGGCAAAAAUAAACCUUACUACAGUUGUUACAAGGAUUAAAUAAGAAAAAGCCCAUAUAUGCCAAGAAUUACAUAUCAGUUUAACUGGGUGAGGCAUCUUGGUGGUUUUUCUCCUGCAGGGGAAGAAAACGUUUCCUUUCUUCCCUUCUAGGUUCUUAGGCUGGUUAAAUCAACUCCCCCAAACAAUUGGAAAAGGGGGUAGGUGAUUGGGGCUUCAAAGGGAAAGAAGACAAUUCACAGGAAGAUGGGAAGACCCAACUUUUGGUAAACAAUUGUUUGCCAUAGUAGGCAGAAAUAGAGGACCUUGGACUUUGAACAAACAGGACCUCCCUCCAGCUUGCCACGCCUUGCCUAUACUCUUUGCAGUUAUCUCUGGCAAUAACUCUCUUCCUGGACCAGGCCUUCUAUCUAAAUUUAUUUGAGUAGUUAAAGGGGAAGUGAAAAGCUCUUGCUGAGUCUUCUGGGCCUUGAUUGACUUCUGAAAGUAAUACACAUGCCAAAGAGGCAAUUUUGGGGAGGCUUAUUCUGAACCCCUUCACUCUCACCCGACCCUUUUUCUUUCCCUUGAAACUGAUGGUGUAACCUAAGACUUCCCAAAACAUGUUUGUAAUAUGACUGUCAUUUUAAAAGAUAGACUUUUGGGUAAGAAUUAGAAAACAAAUACAGAUCCACUGAUUUCUCAUUGAAAUGGUUCCUAAAGAGUCCAGCUGUCACAGACAACUUGACCAAAAGGGGGAAACUGUGGAUGAAAAAGGGACUCUGUAGUAUGAUCAGUUGCUAGGGUGAUCUGAUCAUAAAUUCUUAGCUGGGAAGAUCAUGGUGGGUAGUCACACCCCUAGCCUAUAAAAUUUUUAUCUUUGCUUUAAGCAAAUCCUGUCCAUUGUUCUUGUGUAUCUUAAAAUGACAGAAGUCUUUUCCAAGCUUCCUUCCCGCCCUCAAGGGAGAAUAUCUUGUUAACUAUUCUGCAAUCCAAUCAUAGAGACCCACUCACACACAUACCCCACCUAGCUUUCUCCCACCUUCAUGUCAUCUUUCUUACAUUCCCUCCUUAAUUCCAAAUGUAUAAAAGCAACUGCAAAAUUGUCAUUCUCAAGAGCAUUUGAGAUCUUGCUUCUCAGCAACUGUCAUCAGUUUGGCUCAAAUAAAACAAACAAAAAUCUA
This is an RNA transcript of Eptesicus fuscus (big brown bat), 2930 nucleotides long. It is a transcript of the gene named vesicle transport through interaction with t-SNAREs 1B, with no coding region annotated. The record is from RefSeq and is a predicted model, not a curated record. Lineage: Eukaryota; Metazoa; Chordata; Mammalia; Chiroptera; Vespertilionidae. The transcript is spliced from 7 exons.